AACGCACAUUGCGCCCCUUGGUAUUCCGGGGGGCAUGCCUGUUCGAGCGUCAUUAUAACCCUCAAGCCUAGCUUGGUGUUGGAGCCUGCCUCUGGGCAGCUCUUAAAAUCAGUGGCGGUGCCGUCUGGCUCUAAGCGUAGUAAUUUUUCUCGCUACAGGGCCCAGGCGGUUGCUUGCCAACAACCCCAAAUUUUCUAUGGUUGACCUCGGAUCAGGUAGGGAUACCCGCUGAACUUAA
RNAcentral lists this unclassified non-coding RNA (238 nucleotides) under uncultured fungus. RNAcentral describes it as "partial contains 5.8S ribosomal RNA, internal transcribed spacer 2, and large subunit ribosomal RNA". RNAcentral also lists the same sequence under 1 other name. The record is from RNAcentral. Lineage: Eukaryota; Fungi.